UACGUAGGCAGCAAGCGUUGUUCGGAAUUACUGGGCGUAAAGCGUGUGUAGGCGGUUGGGUAAGUCUGGUGUGAAAUCUCCCGGCUCAACUGGGAGGGUGCGCCGGGAACUGCCUGGCUGGAGUGCGGAAGAGGAGAGUGGAAUUCCCGGUGUAGCGGUGAAAUGCGUAGAUAUCAGGAGGAACACCGGUGGCGAAGGCGGGUCUCUGGGCCGUAACUGACGCUGAGGAGCGAAAGCGUGGGGAGCGAACAGG
Molecule: ribosomal RNA, 253 nt
Filed under: uncultured bacterium
Lineage: Bacteria
Description: partial 16S ribosomal RNA
Rfam family: Bacterial small subunit ribosomal RNA
Source: RNAcentral